UAACACGUAGGGGGCAAGCGUUGUUCGGAAUUAUUGGGCGUAAAGGGCAUGUAGGCGGUUUCGUAAGCCUGGUGUGAAAUCCUGCAGCUUAACUGUAGAAUUGCAUUGGGUACUGCGAGACUUGAAUCACAGAGGGGAAACUAGAAUUCCAGGUGUAGGGGUGGAAUCUGUAGAUAUCUGGAAGAAUACCGGUGGCGAAGGCGGGUUUCUAGCUGAUGAUUGACGCUGAGGUGCGAAAGUGCGGGGAGCAAACAGGAUUAGAUACCCUGGUAGUCCGCACCGUAAACUAUGUACACUAGGUGUAGGGGCAUGAGUCUCUGUGCCGAAGCUAACGUGAUAAGUGUACCGCCUGGGAAGUAUGCCCGCAAGGGUGAAACUUAAAGGAAUUGACGG
This 393-nucleotide ribosomal RNA is filed under the name bacterium enrichment culture. Its description in RNAcentral is "bacterial SSU rRNA". It matches the Rfam family "Bacterial small subunit ribosomal RNA", at positions 521 to 916 of the family's 1533-position model. The record is from RNAcentral.